This is a long non-coding RNA of Passer domesticus (house sparrow), 606 nucleotides long. RefSeq lists it as uncharacterized. The record is from RefSeq and is a predicted model, not a curated record. NCBI's taxonomy places the organism in Eukaryota, Metazoa, Chordata, Aves, Passeriformes, Passeridae. The transcript has 3 exons.
GCCCCCCUGGACAGGACCCACUCUACUGAUCAAGCAAGGCUGAACAGUCCCACAGCCCUAAACACAGCUGCAAAGUGUCCUUGUGCCCAUCACCCUCGAUCCAGCAGGGCUGCAGAGGGAACAAACUCUCACUUUAACUGAAAAGACAAAACCUUGUACAGGGCCUGGCCUGGAAGGCCUGGAUGUGAUGGCCUCUCCCAGGGAGAGAGACCAGAGGCCCUAGGAGGCUGUCAAGAAAGAUGUCUGUGAGUAGUCCACCAAAGGGACUGAACAUUUGCAGCAAGGAAAGCAGAGACCUGGGAGGACCAAAUGCAGACAAGCCUUCUGUGAGGAUGAGCAAGCAGUUCUGAGCAAGGAGCAGGGAAAUAAAGGAAAGAGGGACUCUAAGUUGUUGAACUUGGCUGCAGCACUGCAGGAUGCAGAUAUUUCUUUUGUCUGUGAUAAAUAUCACUCUAUUUAGCAGCUUCUGAAUUCCUAGGCUAAAAUGCUGCUUCCACAGGAACUUCUACAGAUGAUUUUGGGUUAGACUGUCAAAUUAAGGACUCAUUCAGAGGUCCUGUCUAAGAAGACCAACAUAUUUUAUAAACAAUAUUCACUUUCCAUAAA